UUCAACCAUGGGCAUGCAUUUGAAACUGGGUGGCUUGAGUGCAGGAGAGGAGAGUGGAAUUCCUGGUGUAGCGGUGAAAUGCGUAGAUAUCAGGAGGAACACCAGUGGCGAAGGCGACUCUCUGGACUGUAACUGACGCUGAGGCACGAAAGCUGGGGGAGCAAACAGGAUUAGAUACCCUGGCAGUCCCAGCCGUAAACGAUGGGUACUAGGUGUGGGAGGUAUCGACCCCUCCCGUGCCGGAGUUAACGCAAUAAGUACCCCGCCUGGGGAGUACGGCCGCAAGGCUGAAACUCAAAGGAAUUGACGGGGGCCCGCACAAGCGGUGGAGCAUGUGGUUUAAUUCGAAGCAACGCGAAGAACCUUACCAGGGCUUGACAUCCCUCGAAUGCUACCGAAAGGUAGAGGCUCCUUUGGAGCGA
RNAcentral lists this ribosomal RNA (422 nucleotides) under uncultured bacterium. RNAcentral describes it as "bacterial SSU rRNA". It matches the Rfam family "Bacterial small subunit ribosomal RNA", at positions 608 to 1029 of the family's 1533-position model. The record is from RNAcentral.